UGGGGAAUCUUGCACAAUGGGCGAAAGCCUGAUGCAGCGACGCCGCGUGCGGGAUGAAGGCCUUCGGGUUGUAAACCUUUUUCGCUCAUGGUCAAGCCGCAGCUUUGGGUUGUGGUGAGGGUAGUGGGUAAAGAAGCGCCGGCUAACUACGUGCCAGCAGCCGCGGUAAUACGUAGGGCGCGAGCGUUGUCCGGAAUUAUUGGGCGUAAAGGGCUUGUAGGCGGUUGGCCGCGUCUGCCGUGAAAUCCUCUGGCUUAACUGGGGGCGUGCGGUGGGUACGGGUUGACUUGAGUGCGGUAGGGGAGACUGGAAUUCCUGGUGUAGCGGUGGAAUGCGCAGAUAUCAGGAGGAACACCGGUGGCGAAGGCGGGUCUCUGGGCCGUUACUGACGCUGAGGAGCGAAAGCGUGGGGAGCGAACAGG
RNAcentral lists this ribosomal RNA (422 nucleotides) under Verrucomicrobiota bacterium. RNAcentral's name for it is "Verrucomicrobia bacterium partial 16S ribosomal RNA". It matches the Rfam family "Bacterial small subunit ribosomal RNA", at positions 355 to 776 of the family's 1533-position model. The record is from RNAcentral. Lineage: Bacteria; Pseudomonadati; Verrucomicrobiota.